Miniopterus natalensis is the source of this 883-nucleotide long non-coding RNA. RefSeq lists it as uncharacterized. The record is from RefSeq and is a predicted model, not a curated record. NCBI's taxonomy places the organism in Eukaryota, Metazoa, Chordata, Mammalia, Chiroptera, Miniopteridae.
GCCUCAUUCCCACGGAAACCUGGUUACUUGACCAGUCUCAGGUUUUCAGUGGCUUCAAGAUAAAGCCUGACAGCCUUAGUGAGCAUUGCUGGCCAAGGCCUCCCGGAACGGUUUACUAAUAAUUGGGAGAUUGGUUAAGUUUAUGUUUUUGUGUCUUGAUGUACAGGCCACGACUUUGAACUUCCAGCAUCUACCAAGAGCGAUGGUGCUUGAAAAGAUAGAAAAUGAAAGAGUUGGUCCUAGUGACUUUCCAAGACCUCUUCUGGUCCUUGAACUUCGAUGACUUGAUCGCUCAACAUGAACUUCAGGGUCUAAAAGAAUUCUUUUUAUGAAAGGCAGAAUAAAAAUCACCCCCAAUUUUAUCCAGGUGAGAAGUUGAAACAAAGCCUGCUUACUAUUUAUAUAUAAAAUGAAAAUGUAAUUUCUGUAUACCAUAAGAGAGCACUCAAUGAUUAAGGGAUGAGUAGAAAAUAGCAUGAAGGGGGAAAUACUUGUUUGAAACUUAUGUAAUUAUAUUAAUUCUGUUUUUAUUUUCUGUAUCUUAGGAUGUUUUAAUAUUUUGGGGGCCUUCCAGACCCAAGGAGAGACUACACCUCCCAGGGCUAGCUAAUUCCCAAAUAUAAUAGCAACUUGCCUAGGAAUAUACCUUUUGUACGCAAACCAACCAUUUUGAGACUAUACCUCCAACCACUCAACUCUCAUACACCACAACAAUAUUUUCCCUGACCGAAGUCAUCCCAGGGCCAGGUACCAGGCAAUUAGAGACCACCCCUAUAGCCUUUAUAAAGUCUGCCAGAAUGAUUCAUGCUGGCUAAUCCUAAAAUGUUCACCCUGCCCUGCCUUCCUUUUCCCAUGCAAGUCCCAAUAAAGUUUCUGGUCUAAA